AUUGAACGCUGGCAGCAUGCUUUACACAUGCAAGUCGAACGGUAACAGGGUGCUUGCACCGCUGACGAGUGGCGAACGGGUGAGUAAUGCGUCGGAACGUGCCGAGUAGUGGGGGACAACGCUGCGAAAGUUGUGCUAAUACCGCAUACGUACUGAGGUAGAAAGUGGGGGACCUUCGGGCCUCACGCUAUUCGAGCGGCCGACGUCUGAUUAGCUAGUAGGUGAGGUAAAGGCUCACCUAGGCGACGAUCAGUAGCGGGUCUGAGAGGAUGAUCCGCCACACGGGGAGUGGGACACGGCCCAGACUCUUACGGGAGGCAGCGGUGGGGAAUUUUGGGCAAUGGGCGAAAGCCUGAUCCAGCCAUGCCGCGUGUCUGAAGAAGGCCUUCGGGUUGUAAAGGACUUUUGUCAGGGAGGAAAUCCCUAGUGCUAAUAACACUGGGGGAUGACAGUACCUGAAGAAUAAGCACCGGCUAACUACGUGCCAGCCGCCGCGGUAA
RNAcentral lists this ribosomal RNA (500 nucleotides) under uncultured bacterium. RNAcentral describes it as "partial 16S ribosomal RNA". It matches the Rfam family "Bacterial small subunit ribosomal RNA", at positions 30 to 523 of the family's 1533-position model. The record is from RNAcentral.